RNAcentral lists this ribosomal RNA (239 nucleotides) under uncultured bacterium. Its description in RNAcentral is "partial 16S ribosomal RNA". It matches the Rfam family "Bacterial small subunit ribosomal RNA", at positions 28 to 250 of the family's 1533-position model. The record is from RNAcentral.
GACGAACGCUGGCGGCGUGCUUAACACAUGCAAGUCGAGCGGUAAGGCCCUUUCGGGGUACGACGAGCGGCGAACGGGUAGGAGUAACACGUGGGUGGACCUCGCCCUCCAGCUCUGGGGAGUAAAGACCUCGGGGAAACCGGGGUACCGUAAUAACCGGGAUAUGACUCCAUGACGCAUGUUGUGGGGUGGAAAGCCUUGUGCGGCUGAGGAUGGGCCCGGCGGCCUAUCAGCUUGUU